This 790-nucleotide ribosomal RNA is filed under the name uncultured bacterium. Its description in RNAcentral is "bacterial SSU rRNA". It matches the Rfam family "Bacterial small subunit ribosomal RNA", at positions 8 to 796 of the family's 1533-position model. The record is from RNAcentral.
AGAGUUUGAUCAUGGCUCAGAAUGAACGUUGGCGGCGUGCUUAACACAUGCAAGUCGAGCGAGAAAGCUUCUUCGGAAGUGAGUAAAGCGGCGGACGGGUGAGUAACGCGUGAGAAUCUGCCCUUUAGUGAAGAAUACCUUCGAGAAAUUGAAGUUAAUACUGCAUACGUCCCUUCGGGGAGAAAGGUGGCUUUUAUGCUGCCGCUAAAGGAUGAGCUCGCGUACUAUUAGCUUGUUGGUGGGGUAAUGGCCUACCAAGGCUAUGAUGGUUAACCGGCCUGAGAGGGUGUUCGGUCACAUUGGAACUGAGAUACGGUCCAGACUCCUACGGGAGGCAGCAGUGGGGAAUAUUGCGCAAUGGGCGAAAGCCUGACGCAGCGACGUCGCGUGGAGGAUGAAGGUUUUCGGAUUGUAAACUCCUGUUAAGCGGGAAGAAAGCCUAAGCUUUAAUAGAGCUUGGGAAUGACGGUACCGCUAGAGAAAGCACCGGCUAACUUCGUGCCAGCAGCCGCGGUAAUACGAGGGGUGCAAACGUUAUUCGGAAUUACUGGGCGUAAAGGGUGUGUAGGUGGUAUAUUAAGUCUGUUGUUAAAGGUUCCGGCUUAACCGGAGGUCAGCGAUAGAAACUGAUAUGCUAGAGGAUGGAAGAGAGAAGUGGAAUUCCUGGAGUAGCGGUAAAAUGCGUAGAUCUCAGGAGGAACACCAAUUGCGAAGGCAGCUUCUUGGUCCAUUUCUGACGCUGAAACACGAAAGCGUGGGGAGCAAACAGGAUUAGAUACCCUAGUAGUCC